Non-coding RNA from Sus scrofa (pig), 3256 nucleotides. Lineage: Eukaryota; Metazoa; Chordata; Mammalia; Artiodactyla; Suidae. The record is from RefSeq and is a predicted model, not a curated record.
UAGUGAAAGGACGUGAACAUAAGUAUGAUCAAAAGCUAGGAAAGAGCAGAUGAACCCAUACCUGUGCUAUAGGAACAUGAUGAAAACAAAAUCUAAAACCAGAUUUGUUGGCUCAAAUGACCUACGGCCUGUAUUUUCCCUGACAAAUUCCAAAUCAUGGCGCUCACUCUGGCUCCUCCCCUAAAAUGGUCAGAACUCCCAAAUCUUCAAGACUUGCUGCUGUUACUUAGGACAUACUAGAAGGAAAAAAAAAUAAAUAAGGGAUCUCCCCUUCUCCAACCAUAGCAGAUCUCUUCCAUUUAAAAGAGGAAUUAAGUAUCAUUUUCUGUAUCCACUUACAAGGGUCUCGUCACAGAUCCCAUCAUCAUUAAUAGCACGUGCCACUCUGGCUAUGGGAGGCUUAGUGCUCAUAUUUGACAGGUGAACUGCAAAUGGUUCUGUCUGGAGUGUCCUACCAGACUUUGCUCUCCAACCCCAAAGUACACAGCUUUCAUACCUCUAAUUAAGUUUCAGCUUCACAUUGAUAACCUAUAUCCCAAACCAUGGAACAAAGACCACCCCCCAGUGCUGUUGAGACUGUUUUCAACACUCAGCCAAUGCGUGAUUUUUUUCCACAAUCAUAUUUGUUUGCAGGCACUAGAGGUCCCUGGUAUUAUUUCCAUAUCUGACAGAAGGUAAGACUGUGGGCACUAAAGCGCUUGUUUUAUAGCACUGUAUGUUAUUAGGCAUGUACUUUGAAAAUACUCUAGGGGUAUAACAAUGACCCACUGUCAUCAGUGCUUGAUCCCUGAACUAGACCUUCCGUAAGGUACAUUAUUAUUCUAUUAUUCUGUGAUUCUAAGAUAAAAUUUUGAAAUGCUACAAGAAAAUAUGGUAUGUUUUACCAAAGGCUAUGUACAAAUGAAACUAUGCAAGGUGUAACAUGAAAACAAACCAAGAGUAAAGAUAGUAUAAUCCCAAAGUAUACAGCAUUUAUUUUAGGACAAUACUCCAGACCUAAAAUUAAAUUUUUAUUAGUGAAACAAUCACUUGAUGACCCAUGUUGAAAACUUAGGAAAUAUAGAUACAUGAAGCUUUUCCUUAAACAACAAAAGUGUACAUGCCACUUUUUUUAGGAUUGCCAACUUUAUUAUAGAAAUUGAAAUUAUCAAAAUUUACUAAUGCAGAAACUUGGAAAAAAGAAAAUCAUGUGCAGUUACACUGCAAUGACACAUAAUCACUAUUAACAUAUAUCUACUCAUUUCCAACUCCAUGAGAUUCUUACAGAAACAUACAUUCUUUAGAAAUCAGGUAUCAAACUGUACUAAAUCAGAAUCUUUUUAGUAAUGUAAUGUAUUUAAACCUACCACAUCUGACUUGUAGUCCAUUUUUAUCUACAGAUGAGGAUUUCUCCUCUCUUCCUAAUCUCUCAGCUCACCAUCUCCUUCCUCCCCCAUUUAAUCUUAACCCCCAAACUCAAUAAAUACAUGAUUUCAAAUAAUUACACAAUGCUAAUCUUAGAUAGAUAUAAUAAAAAAAGUGGCCUUUUCAUCCUGUCCAGUCACUUUGGAAUAAACAAGGAUCCAUAACGCACAUGAAGUUCUUUUUUUUCAUGCUUGGCUUGUAUAAUUUAAUUUCUGUAGUUUCUUUGGCAUGCUCGGAAAUAAACCCACAGACUAGUAAUUUUUUUCCUUCGGGAGAGAACUAUAAAACAAAAUCAGACCUUUUUUUAACCCUUAAAUAAAACGAAGCUUAGACAAAACUGAAAUUACAACACCAGCUUUUUACUUAAGCUAUAGUAAUUCAAUCCUCUAGCCUUACCCACCCGAUACUGAAGGUGUAAUUAUCAUCCCCACUUGCAGAUGAGAAAAUGGAGGCUCAGAGAGGUUACGUAAUAAUAAAACCAAGGUCAUUUAACACAGAAAUGUUGGAACUGGGAUUUGAAUGCAACAGACCCAGUGUCAGAGCAGACCAAAAAGCAGUAUGCCGUGAUGUGUAAGCUAUUUUUUGAACCCGGCCACUUUCCUCGAAAAUUCAAUCUUCUCAUCAUGUUAAAAUGUGUAGUUGAAAGCAAACAACAUUGAUCUUUGUAAAAAGGUACUGACAGAUUUAUUUCUUUGGGAACUAGACGUAUUUUGUCCUUGAGGCCAGAGAAUUGGAGAAAAAUUCGGUUGAAAUCCAGUAAAAUAUUAUAAUUGUCAUUCAAACAAAUCAACCCAUUGGCCUCUUUAAGCUAUUCAAAUUGCUUAUCUUACUAAAAACAGCCAAAAGAUACUCAGACAGAGCAAAUGAAAAUUUGUAAUGAAAAAAUUAAAGGGUUGUAGUAGUUUUAGAUAAGGCUAAAAUUAUACAGAUAAUAAAUGUAAUCUGAAACUACCAGACAGGUCUGACCAUCAUUUCAAAGGAAAGAGCUCCAAAAGAUGUUUCACCACAGUAGGAGAGUUUUAGAACAAAAUUCAGUAUGUGAAAGAUUGCAUCAAACAUAAUUUGUUGCUCUCUUAUAAAAUGUAUGCUUUUCUGUUUUGAAUUUUCUCAUGGCCAUUUCUGAAUAGAAUUUGAGUGACUCAAGGCCUGAAGGACGCUAUUCCUCAAUUCAGAGAGUCAAGAUGAGAAUGUUUUUACAAUCUUUAAUCAGCUCAGAACCUACCUAGUCAAGUUUGGAAGUGGUGAUGAGCCCAGUGAGCUAGUAUCUCUGAGUAGCCCUGCAGCAUUUAUAGCCAGCGCCUUACAUGGCUUCUCCCUUUGCUUGAACAAGCACAACAGGAAAGGGAAGGAAAGACAACCAGAGACAAGGGACAAAAACCAUCAUCCUAGCUCCCCAAACUGCCCUGAUGAGAAUACGUCAGGACAUUCCAGCAAGAGGUUGGUCAAAACUUUUCAAGAUUCUUUAUCAAGAGGGAUGUUGUAGGGAAAAUGGAUGGAGAUACACAAAAGUCACUCACUAUCUCUGUUAUUUCCUUCAUCAAAAGGGCAAGCAUAUGUGGAUCUAACUUCUGAGAAGACAAAGAAUGCCUGUUGAUUGUAAAGUAAGAUACAAAAGCACAUGUUAUAGGCCAGAACAGAGUGGCAUGGUAUGAUAUAUUCGAAGUGCUGAAAGGAAAAAAAAAAAAAAAAACUUCCAACCAAGAAUACUCUCCCCAGCUAAGUAAUCAUCCAGAGUUGAAAGAGAGAUUCCACAGAUCCCAAGCCCCUGGGCUUUCCCCUGAAUGGAACAGAAUUGAGAAACAUGCCUCAUGAGACAUCCCUGCCACCAAAAGAAAAGCUGACUGGGUUAUUG